RNAcentral lists this ribosomal RNA (377 nucleotides) under uncultured bacterium. RNAcentral describes it as "bacterial SSU rRNA". It matches the Rfam family "Bacterial small subunit ribosomal RNA", at positions 523 to 898 of the family's 1533-position model. The record is from RNAcentral.
AUACGGAGGGUGCGAGCGUUGUUCGGAAUUAUUGGGCGUAAAGCGCGUGUAGGCGGUUUGAUAAGUCUGAUGUGAAAGCCCCGGGCUCAACCCGGGAAGUGCAUUGGAAACUGUCAGACUUGAAUACGGGAGAGGGAAGUGGAAUUCCUAGUGUAGGAGUGAAAUCCGUAGAUAUUAGGAGGAACACCGGUGGCGAAGGCGGCUGCCUGGACCGAUAUUGACGCUGAGACGCGAAAGCGUGGGGAGCAAACAGGACUAGAUACCCUGGUAGUCCACGCCGUAAACGAUGGAUGCUAGGUGUAGGGGGUAUCGACCCCUUCUGUGCCGGAGUCAACACAAUAAGCAUUCCGCCUGGGGAGUACGGCCGCAAGGUUGAA